This 5212-nucleotide long non-coding RNA is filed under the name Sus scrofa (pig). RNAcentral describes it as "lncRNA (ENSSSCG00000051825.1)". Lineage: Eukaryota; Metazoa; Chordata; Mammalia; Artiodactyla; Suidae. The record is from RNAcentral.
UGGGAAUAAUGACCCCCCCCACCCCUGCCUCAUAGGCUGACUGUGAGGAUCCAAUGAGUUAAUAAACAUUAAUCACUAAUUACAAUGUCCACAUACAAAGGUGAAUUAUCUGCGAAGCUAAAGAAACUGAAGCUUUAGGUCCUGGUCUUGCAUCCUUGCAUGUCCCCUUCCCCAAAGCACUAUAUUUUGUAUUCAUCAUUUUGUCUUUUUCUUAAAGAGGAUUCCAGCUUGCAUAAGCUUCAAGCCCCUCAAAACUUGGAUCCACCCCAGGGUUACCUAGAAAAGGAAGCAUUUGGUUUGGAUGACUGCUGCGGACGCACCUAGUGCAAAAAUGCAAGCUUCUAAGUCUUAGUCAUGGACAAACAUGUGCCAAACCCUCAUUUGUGGACUGGGGCACAGACGUAUUUCUCAGUAGACAAGGAGCCAUAGAAGAGAGCAUGUGCCAGGCUCAUGGUAGAGUGACCGACUCAUCCCAGUUUCCCUGGGACAGCACCAGCUUGACUUACAGCGUUGAGUCAAAUUUCUGCUGUGCAGCAUAGUGACCCAGUCAUGCAUAUAUACACAUUCUUUUCCUCAUAUCAUCUUCCAUCGCGUUCUAUCCCAAGAGACUGGAUCUUGUUCCCUGUGCUAUACACUAGGACCUCACUGCGUAUCCAUCCUAAAUGUCACAGUUUGCAUCGACCAACGCCCACCAGCACCCAUUUUAAAACCUAAAGCACCACGUCUCUGAAACCCCCUCGGUCCCGGGUGAGCCAGGAUGGUUGGUCGCCCUCCUCAGGGAGGAGAGAUGCAUGUCACUGUUAUGCACCAUGGAGCUCGCAGGUCAGCGAUGCCUGGUGUCUUGCAGGUGCCCGGUAACUCUGUUGAGUGGGCAGUGUGUACACCAACUGUCCUGCUUUCUGAGCUGGAGGGAGGGGAUGCUUGGUGGUCUGGGGUGGGGGCCGGGGGAAGCAGGGAGAGGGCAUGGAAAUCCAGUGUGAAAAACAAGUCCGUGGUGGUGAAGUUGGGUCAGAAAACUACUAUUACUGGGAGAGAGGGUUGCGGACUGGGAUGAGAGGAACCCCUCAAAGGCAGGUGGGGUGCCCAGACCCCGGGUAGUUUCUGUUUACUUCUGGGUACCCGAGAACCGACAGCACGUCUGUCUUCCGUGUAGAAUCGCCACGUUGUCAUUUUCUCAGCUCGGAAACUCCGCCUGCAUCCAGGCAGAGCCCGGAGUACAGGCUGGAUCUGGCUGGGGAUAAACGGUGCCCCAGGCGGGUCUGCGGCUGGCUCUGGGCAGGCGGGCGAGCUGCUCGGCCCCGAUUCCACAUGCUGUGUAGACUCCAAUUACCCGAGGACUUAGAGAUCAAACAGCCCAACUGUGCUCCACAAAGAAAGAGGAGCUCUUAAUUUCACUCUGUGCUGCACCCUCCUGCCAGACCCUGCAAAACAAUGCUUUGCAUUGAUGUCCUCCGGAGCCGCAAACCUUCCUGAAACUGUCUCUGCUUAUCCCAGCCACAUCUCUAUGAAGUGGACAGGGGACAGGGUCCGAUAUUUUAAAGAACGGCCCGGGAUAUCAUGGCAGCCACAGAUGGCUUAAAGCACUCGCUCCUACUUUGCCAAGGACAGAGAAUUUAAAAAUUGUUAUUUAUGUUUACUUUCAGUUAUCCGUGAAAGGUGUUGGAAGUGGAGAAAAAUUGUUUGUAUUGGCCCCUCGCUGAGUGGUGGCAUAGACGCAGAGGACCUGAAAGAAAACAGGAAAGCCAGCAGAAGGCCAAGGGCCAGAGACUGGAAUUUUACAGAUUUUAUUUUUCUCUUCUCUCAUAGUACAAAUACAGGUCGUCAUAGUCAGGGUUUAGAGUGGGGAGAAGCACAGCCCAAAAUUAGUCUGAUUUUUUUUUUUUUCAAUGAUAAGGUCAGUUCAAAGGGAAAUACUGUGGACAAUGCAAUCAUUUUGAACAUGUAAGAUGAAGGAAAGCCAAAAUAUUUGGGGAAAAAAUUCUUUGUAGACAUCUAGCUAGGUAGGCAACAAAUGAGAGCUAAGCCUACAGAUCUAAUUUGCUUUCCCAUAUGUUGAUAUUAAAAGUACUUUUAGCUUUCAGGACAACAGAUUUGUAAUUAAGAAGAGUGUACUAAAGUGAUACAGAAUUUCAGGGUUUUUUGAUAGGCGACUUCACCUGUAUAAUAAUCAUGUCUGCAUGCUGCUACUUGUUUAGAAGCUUCUCUAGAAAUGAAUGAUACAGAUACCGUAAACGGAUCCGCAUUUCCCUUUGAUAAAGUGAAAAAGAAAUGUUUGAGAUGUAGUUGAAACGCUAUCACAACACAGGGAUCAGGAUAGAGCUCAAAGGCAAAUGCAAAUAUCUUUUAAAGUGAGCAUUCUAUACAGAAAACAUAUAUUUAUAAUAAAAACUGACCUUAAUGUUAAGGGGAAAUGAUGGUGCAAGCCUUUCUAUUUUGGAACUAAUAUGCUACCUUGUUUCUUAUUUGAUGGUCUUAAAAAGCAGAUCAUAGGACUUUGAAAGCAGCAUUUUUCAAGCACUGUCAACACGCUGGUAUAGACAACGAGAGAGAAGCCAAAUUGUCCAUUUGUGAGAUUCCUAAGCAAUUUGUCUUCAUUUUAGUUGUUUACUCUCAAAUAUUGAAUGCUCUUCCCACCAUGCCACUGUAUCCCCCUAUUGCUAAGUGAUUUUUGUAAAAUUUACACUGAAAUGACUUACUAUCCCACUUCAGAUGGUCUUGAAGACAUGUCUCUGAAAUAAUGGAAGAAGAACUCAAAGUGCUCCCUCUCUUUUGCACUGCUUGCCACCACAGGAAUAAACCUGGAGAUACUUAUUCUCCGCUACUAAUUUUGGAUCUCUUCAUUGUUUUACCGUAAUAGCCCUCAACUAGAAAGUCCACGAUCAACAUCGGAUUUUGAUCAUUGUGACACAGGGUAACGCAAUCCAUUACAAAAUGUCACCAUCGUGCACAUGUGUAAGAAUUAAGAUGUCUCAUGAAUGAGCACCGAAUGCUGGAUAAACGGAGCCACCUGCCACAGAAUCUUCCCCCGUGCAAACUCAACAAUGCUAAGCAGGUCAUCCGGGUUCUAGAAGUCACGGCCGGAUCAUGGCUUUCUGCACACAGUGAUGGUUUCUGUGGGAAAAAUGUAGCAGGGAAUGUCAUGCUCCUUACCUUGCUUUACACCACAACUGUUGGAGGCAAUGCUUUCUCCGAUUUCUUCCGGUUUUGCUUGGGAUCCAGGAAGAAAGAGUGUCCCUGAUUAGUAACUUCUCAGAUAUUCCUUAGGACACAGAGAUUUUGGGAGAUACUUUGGCAUGCCAGCCUCAGUGUGCCCUCUCAGUUUAAAGCCUGGAAGGUGGACAAAUGUACAUUGGCUUCCCGGCAGGCACUGAAAUUCGGAGCAGACAGCUGGCUCCAACAGCCUUUCCACGGGAAAUGAACACAGUUUCUCAGAUGGCCACUAGAUGGCGUAUGACAACCAUUUGUGUCAGCCACGCACGCGUCCCAUCUGUCAGUAACUUAGCAAAUGUGCUCAAAAACAGUUCCUCCAAGAGAACUUCGCUAUUGGAUUGUUCUUAUCAUUUCAAUCUUUAUAUGGAAAUUUCAAUGCUUCUGAUUUAUGUCUGGGAAGUCGAUGAACUCUUCGCUGGAAGAGACAACAUCACAAAGUGCAUUUGUUAGGUUCAUAAACAUUGGCACUUACAGCUGAAUCAAGACACAAAUAUUAACUGUCAAUGUGUAUCCUGCCCAUUUAUCUACCAAAGCUUCCACAAACUUUUAUUAAGUGUCCAAAGUGUCUAUGGUGUGGGAAAUGUUACUUGUGCUUCUAAACUAUUGAAAGAACAUUCCGUUACCAGAAAUUAACCAAGUGCUGUAAAAUAAAGACAUCAAUUCCAUGUUUUACAGUCGGGCUAUCAGUGUAACGUUGAAACAAAAUAUGUGCUGCAAUGUCAGCAGCUUCAUAUUGAUAUAGAAUAAAUCUGAAGUCAACAACAAAAAAAGAUCAAGUGAAGUAUUUGGUAAAUAUUCCCCCCACCCGCACACCCAGAGCAAAAUAUGCCCCUUUUGCCUUAAGACAGGUAAUUCCUAUAAGAAGAAUAAACUAGAUCUAGAGUAGCGUUAGUUUUCUCUUUCGUGUCCUUUGUUUCUCAUACAGGAAUGACAUAAUGGGGUACUCAUAGGAAUGAGUAUUUUAUGACAUAAUUUUUUAAAAGUUUACUUGCUGGUAGGUUUAAUAAUUAUAAUGGCUUUAUCACAGUGUUCAGAAGGACAUGUGGCGACGUCUUCUAAAGUGAGUUCCACACCUGUAGAGAUAAUCAACAAAUUUCUAAGAUCCUUUCCACUUUUAAGAAUCAAUGAUUUUAAAAAAGGAGCGGUUAAUAUCUUUCGCUCUUUUCCAAAUAGGUGUGAUAUUUCUUCUAGGCCAGCCUCUACCCCAAAGAAAAGAAUGGUCUCAUUUUUAGAAUUACUGGCUGUUUGUUUGAACUAAAGAAUUAGUUGCAUUUCAAAACAAAGACAUGCCUAAUGAAAUGAUUAAAACAUACAGAGCAUUAAAUUAUAAGCAGAUGGGGGUGAGAGGGGGCCGGGGGGGAGGUGAAUUUGUUAGAGACCCGAGUCCAGGGAACGCUGACAGCUUUGGGUCUUUCGCAACAGCACAGAACAUGAUUGUUUCAGCAAUAAAAGAUAAGAAAACAACCCCUGAAAAAUAAAUCUGUUUUCUUUUUUGAUAGACAGGAACAUGCAAGAAGAGCCAGAAAGUAAAAUCCAUGUGUUACUAUAAAGGUUGAAAGGGAUGGUCCACAAUGAUGCUGGGAAAAGGAACCAGGAUGCUGGCAAGUGUGUCAUAGUGGCCAAAAGUCCUAACUCAGUGAGCCAAGAGGAUCAGACGGGCCCAGGAUAAGUCAUGGUUCAGGGUUUGGAUUCUUCAGAAGAAGAAGUCAGACAUGCCCGCCCCCUCCCCCGCUGCAGUCUGGUCCCAGUUAUUCAUGAAACGUCUUCUCUCUUCCCUCCUCCCUGAAAUUUAUCAUUUUAAAUGCUGCUCUGUAUCGUUAAAAGAUAAGAGUUUGAUGAGAUAAAGUUUAGAAUAGCUAAAGAAGAAGUUUGGCGAAUGGGAGCAGUUCACAGACUGUGCAAAUUGUCUAAGUGACACUUUAUAGUUCGAUAGAAUCCAGGAGAGUUUUAUCUUGAAUUUCUAUCAGGCUACAUUCAGCAGGAGCUUGUUCCCUGGAAAUGG